Molecule: ribosomal RNA, 292 nt
Filed under: uncultured bacterium
Lineage: Bacteria
Description: partial 16S ribosomal RNA
Rfam family: Bacterial small subunit ribosomal RNA
Source: RNAcentral
GUGCCAGCCGCCGCGGUAAUACGGGGGGUGCAAGCGUUAAUCGGAUUUAUUGGGCGUAAAGGGCGCGUAGGCGGCUUUGUAAGUCAGAUGUGAAAGCCCGGGGCUUAACCCCGGAAGUACAUUUGAUACUAUAAAGCUUGAGUAUGGGAGAGGGAAGUGGAAUUCCUGGUGUAGCGGUGAAAUGCGUAGAUAUCAGGAGGAACACCGGUGGCGAAGGCGACUUCCUGGACCAAUACUGACGCUCAGGCGCGAAGGCGUGGGGAGCAAACAGGAUUAGAUACCCGGGUAGUCC